UAGGAUUUGGUUAGGAUUUGGUUUAAGGUUCGAUUAGGGUUUGGAUUAGGGUUUGAUUUAGGAUUUAGGGUUUAGGAUUUGGAUUAGGAUUUGAUUUAAGAUUAGAGUUUGAUUUUGGAUUAAGGUUUAGGAUUUGGAUUAGGAUUUGGUUUAGGAUUAGGGUUUAGGAUUUGGUUAGGAUUUUAUUUAGGGCUUAGGAUUGGAAUUAGGGUUUGGUUUAGGGUUUAGGAUUUGGUUUAGGAUUUGGUUAUAAUUUGGUUUAGAAUUUGGUUGGGAUUUGGUUUAAGGUUUGUUUAGGGUUUGAUUUAGGGUUAAAGAUUUAAUUAGUUUUGGCCUAGAGUUUGAAUGAAGUUCGAUAGGAUUUUGACUAGAAUUAAAUAAAGUUUGAAUUGAGAUGUAUUUGAGUAAUAUUUGUGAUCAUUCUAAUAUUUCUUUAAGAAUUCUUAUUAUUGGUUUCAAAUUUCUUUGAAGUUUUUUUUUGAAAUUUGAUUAAGCUUGCCUAGCAUU
Molecule: long non-coding RNA, 507 nt
Filed under: Physcomitrium patens
Lineage: Eukaryota; Viridiplantae; Streptophyta; Bryopsida; Funariales; Funariaceae
Description: long non-coding RNA (PPAT_LNC002182)
Source: RNAcentral